GCCCCACACCGGGUGAGGGGGUUCCCGCAGGAAGGUAGUAAAGCCGGAUAUUGAUGUUUAAGGUUGAUGGAGUGACGUAAAAGCGGUCCACUCACAAGAUGUCCCGGCCCAGAAUGCCAGAGGCCAGGUGCUGCCGCCGCCCUAGGCGUGCCAAGGAACAGAGGCGAGCAGGCAA
Molecule: long non-coding RNA, 175 nt
Organism: Corvus hawaiiensis (hawaiian crow)
Lineage: Eukaryota; Metazoa; Chordata; Aves; Passeriformes; Corvidae
Exons: 4
Source: RefSeq, a predicted model, not a curated record